GGUGACGUAGCUCAGCGGGUCAGAGCGCCGGCCUCAUAAGCCGGAGGUCGCGGGUUCGAGCCCCGCCGUCACCACCA
RNAcentral lists this transfer RNA (77 nucleotides) under Burkholderiaceae bacterium. RNAcentral describes it as "tRNA-Met". It matches the Rfam family "tRNA". From Rfam's summary of the family: Transfer RNA (tRNA) molecules are approximately 80 nucleotides in length. Their secondary structure includes four short double-helical elements and three loops (D, anti-codon, and T loops). Lineage: Bacteria; Pseudomonadati; Pseudomonadota; Betaproteobacteria; Burkholderiales; Burkholderiaceae. The record is from RNAcentral.